Hyaena hyaena (striped hyena) is the source of this 578-nucleotide long non-coding RNA. RefSeq lists it as uncharacterized. The transcript has 3 exons. NCBI's taxonomy places the organism in Eukaryota, Metazoa, Chordata, Mammalia, Carnivora, Hyaenidae. The record is from RefSeq and is a predicted model, not a curated record.
CCAAGAAGACAACUCGCAUGCCUGAGGCAGGGGCCAAGCAGGAUGGUGGCCAGAGAGGGGACCAGAAAAGCAGGCGGGGACAGAAGGAUGUGGUUACGACCCACGAGGGAACUCUGAGCGGUGUCUGGCACACAGCAAGCACUCAAGCAAUGUCUCUCCAUCAUUGGCAGUCAUGUUUUCAAAUAUGUUAAUCUCUGGGAAGGUGCCUGGGUAUCUUCAAGGCCUGGCUAUGCCCGACAGCCAACAUUUACUCAAGUGACGUCUAAUGGGACAAUGGAGCCCGCGCCAAGGACUUGGAGCUUCAAGCCAAGGGCUGUCCUGCCUCCCGCCACCUCCCUGCCUCCCUGGGACAUGUUCUCAGCUGCCCCCUACCCCCUGGCACCGUGGCCCUGCCUGGCCUCCCCCUCCACUGCCACCCUCCACCCCGGGCACGGGCACGGGCAAGGUUGGGGUCAGGUAUCACAGGGUGCGUCAGCGGCCAUCGCCACCCCAGAUUGGCAGCACCACUGCCGUCUGGCAGGCAGAGACCCGGUCGAAGCAGGAGUGAGCCCGUCACCUGCCCCAUCUGGGGCCUGAGA